RNAcentral lists this ribosomal RNA (544 nucleotides) under uncultured Bacteroidales bacterium. RNAcentral describes it as "bacterial SSU rRNA". It matches the Rfam family "Bacterial small subunit ribosomal RNA", at positions 34 to 569 of the family's 1533-position model. Lineage: Bacteria; Pseudomonadati; Bacteroidota; Bacteroidia; Bacteroidales. The record is from RNAcentral.
CGCUAGCCCUUUGCUUAACCCCUGCAAGUCCAGGGGCAGCGGGGUUGUACCAAUACGACUGCCGGCGACCGGCGCACGGGUGAGUAACACGUAUCCCACCUUCCGGUUACUCGGGAAUAGCCUUUCCAAAGAAAGAUUAAUGCCCGAUGGUAUAACAAGUCUGCAUGGACUUGUUAUUAAAGAUUUAUCGGUAACCGAUGGGGAUGCGUUCCAUUAGGCAGUUGGCGGGGUAACGGCCCACCAAACCGACGAUGGAUAGGGGUUCUGAGAGGAAGGUCCCCCACAUUGGAACUGAGACACGGUCCAAACUCCUACGGGAGGCAGCAGUGAGGAAUAUUGGUCAAUGGGCGAGAGCCUGAACCAGCCAAGUAGCGUGAAGGAUGACUGCCCUAUGGGUUGUAAACUUCUUUUAUACGGGAAUAACAAGCGGCACGUGUGCCGUUCUGCAUGUACCGUAUGAAUAAGCAUCGGCUAACUCCGUGCCAGCAGCCGCGGUAAUACGGAGGAUGCCAGCGUUAUCCGGAUUUAUUGGGUUUAAAGGGAG